RNAcentral lists this long non-coding RNA (3360 nucleotides) under Homo sapiens (human). RNAcentral's name for it is "HSALNT0250465". Lineage: Eukaryota; Metazoa; Chordata; Mammalia; Primates; Hominidae. The record is from RNAcentral.
ACUGUUUGAUGGUAGAUUAUCUUCUUUAUCUUCAACUGAAUGCCAGAUGGACAGGCACAAUCUUCACCCUAGAGGUAUACAGCUUCUGAGGAUCACGGGGAUGAAAGGCAUGAACUGGGCUCACACAGCUAAUGCAUUAGGACACCAGAAAAGGAAGAAAAGACAGUGGCAGCUGAAGACAUUUCAGGAAUGCUUCACUGAGAACCUAAGUCUUGUUCUGGGCCAUAAAGAAAAGGGGAGGGUGUGGUUUCUAUACCAGAGAUAAGAAAGGAGAAAAUUGGACGUGGAGGAAAGAUAUGAGUACCAAUCCGAGCGAACAAGGAAGAGUGAGUAAAUCUGUCCAGCUGGAGUUGGAGGUACAUUCUGGAAAAUGGUGAGAGAGGCUGUGUAGGGUAGGGGGACACGGAAAGAUGGGCCAAGACAUUUGGAGCUGAUAUUUGAUAUGGUUUGGCUGUGCCCCCACCCAAAUCUCAUCUUAAAUUGUAAUCCCCAUAAUCCCCACGUGUCGAGGGAGGGACCCGGUGGGAAGUGAUUGGAUCAUGGGGGCAGUUUUCCCCAUGGAAUUCUCGUGAUAGUGAGUGAGUUCUCACGAGAUCUCAUGGUUUUACAAGCGUCUGGUAUUUCACCUGAUUGCACUUCUCUCUUCUGCCUCCUAGUGAAAAAGGUGCCUGCUUCUCCUUCUGCCAUGAUUAUAAGUUUCCUGAGGCUUCCCCAGCCAUGCGUAACUGAGUGAGGACCUAGAAUUUUAAUGUCUAAUAUGCGGUGUGAAUUAAAGAAGCGGCCUUGCUAUGCUGACCUUUUCAAUAUUCUAAUCUUUGCUUUGCUGACCUCUCAGGCCUCUUCCUGGCAACAGUUAGGCUUUUGAGAGGAGAGAGAGCUGAGACUGUUGGCUCCUUCCCAUUUAUGAGAGAGCCACAUGACAUCAGCCCAUAGACUGUGGAGAGUAUUCCAGAUCUAUCACAUUCUGCGAUUCUGCGAUUCCCAGAAGGCUGGUCAUGAAAAAAUUCCCUCUUCAGUUUACAUAUAUGGCAGUGAUGCACAUUGUUCUUUUGGUUGUGAAAAAUUCGAAGAAGUAGAUGUGGUCCUGGUUGAUGGAUGAACAUUGAGGCCCUCAAGUGCAUAAAGGCACUUCUAGAUAUCUGUUGAGGCCUGGAAGGGGCAAAACAAUUCAGGAAGCAGUUGAAGAUAAAGGGGUUUACCAUGGAAGAGAAGAUCCAGGUGCCUUCAUGGAAAUGCUUGUGGUUGAAAAGAGAUGAAGAUGAGGGUCCCUGGAAAGAGGAAGAACCAGCCAGGAAAAUUAUACCAUUAGCAAGACUGGCAUCAGCAAGUAGUUCGCAGUGUUGGUUGUUCUUGGUUUCGCAGGAUUUUAUAGGAGUUCUGAACACUGGGAAGUCCAAGAGCAAGGCAACAACAGAUUCAACAUCUGAUGGACCUUCUCCUAAAAGUCUUAUCUUCUAAGUCUCCUAAGUCUUGGACUUUUCAAGGCCAAAGAUUUAAAGGCCAAGUGGACCAUACGGGAGAUCUAGUUUCCCAUCCAGACAGCCAAGCUCAUGCAUCCCUGGAUUUGGAUGGAUGGUUUCCCAUGGGGCCUUGGACAGAUUGGACCCAGCACUGGCACAGGGUUGACUUGGAGGAAUAAGCUCCUGGAAACCUCAAUUAGCGUUUGGGGUAUGAACAUUAAACAAUACUGAAUCUGGAAACAAUACAUCACACAGCGGGUCCAAGGAAAUAAGCAGAAGGCUGGCAGCAGGCCAGGGCCAGGGGCCAAAUCGCUCCUCAAAGACAAUUCUUCAUGGAGAAAUGACAGCAGGUUUGAGGACAGCAGAAUUUCGCUCUUGUUGCCCAGGGCUGGAGUGCAAUGGUGCAAUCUCGGCUCACCACAACCACUGCCUCCUGGGUUCAAGCGAUUCUCCUGCCUCAGCCUCCUGAGUAGCUGGGAUUACAGGAAGUACAAAAACAUCCUUGCCGUUUGCUGGAAUGAUGUACUGCUGAAGGCAAUGGACACUGGGGUUGUUUGUCCCUAAUCACAAGUGAGCAAUACCAGAUCUAUUAUCUCAGGUUCAGAGAAGUGAGGUGUCUGACCUUCAGACAGGAUUGAAUGCAGAGUAAAAUAAUUCCAAAUAUGGUCUGGGCAUUGCAUGUAAUACAGAGUAAAAGUUAUUGUAAGACACUUUCGCCAGUUUCUGUCACUUGGUUCCUCAAAUGUUUAGUUCAUUCUAAUUACAUAAUCAGCCUUCUGAUUCAAUGAAGACUGAUGGGAUUGCUGACUUGCCACCCUGGAGUUCAGUUGGCAGCAAGUGAGGGAAAAGGUGAACUCUGUAAACAAGGUUUAGAAGCCCUUUUCUUAACUCUUUAUAAAACAGAGAAGAUGAGGAAGGAGAAAGGCACUGUCAUUAAGCUCUUAGCCAGGGAAUUACACAUACACACACGUGUGUGUGUGUGUAUUUCAACUCAAUGUACAAGGACUUCUCAGCCCAUAGCUACUUUGAACACAUUGUUUAUCCCCCAUAGCAUGAAGGACUAAAGGAACCAGAGAUUUCAUAAUCUCUGGCCUGUAACGUUUUUGCUGAAAUAUCUGCUGUUAUUCUAAUGGGGUUUCCUUUAAAGGUGACUAGUCACUCUUCUUUUGCUAAUUAAUUUUUUUUUUCACUUUGACUUUAGACAUUCUGAAUAUAAUAUGCUAUGAUGAAGCACUUUAUGCAAUGUAUAUUCCUGAGGAUUGCUGGGCCUCCUGUAACUAGAUGUCUGACUCUCUUGCUAGAUGUGGAAAGUUUUCAUCAAUUAUUUUCUUAAACAGGUUUUCUAAGCUUUUAAAUAAUCUUUCUUUCCCAUCAGGAAUACCAAUAAUUUCUAAUUUCAGUCACUUUAUGUAGUCCCAGACAUCUCAAAGGCUUUGUGCACUCCCUUUUAUACUUUUUUGUUGUCGUUAUCUUUGUCUUACUGGAUUAUUUCAAAAGACUUAUCUUCAAGUUCUGAGAUUCUUUCUUCUGCUUGAUCUAUUCUGUUAUUGAAGCUUUCAAAUACAUUUUGCAUUUCCUUCAAUAGUUUUUUUAGGUUUAGAUUUUCUGCUUUUGCUUUAUAAGAUACCCAUCUCCUUGAUACAUUUCUCAUUAAUAUCCUGAGUUAAUUUUCUAAUUUCUUGAAGUUGGCCCAAGGGUGGAAUGCAGCCCCGUGUUAAACUCUCAAAACUGUGCCUUGGGCCUGUGACCAGACAGAGCAGAUUUCUUCUCAAGUAAGUAGCAUAGAAAAGAGAGAUCCAAAUAAACACAAUCAUAAAUGAAAAAGGAGACAUUAUAGCUGAUAACACAGAGGCACAAAGAUCAUCAGAGACUAUUAUAAAUAACUAUAUGAUCACAAACC